RNAcentral lists this microRNA (22 nucleotides) under Salmo salar (Atlantic salmon). RNAcentral describes it as "ssa-miR-7132b-3p". RNAcentral also lists the same sequence under 6 other names. The record is from miRBase by way of RNAcentral. Lineage: Eukaryota; Metazoa; Chordata; Actinopteri; Salmoniformes; Salmonidae.
UGAGGCGUUUAGAACAAGUUCA